GGGCCCAUGGCGCACGGGAUAACGCGCCUGACUGGAUCAGGAGAUUCCGGGGUUCAAUCCUGGCGGGCCUU
Molecule: non-coding RNA, 71 nt
Organism: Trichonephila inaurata madagascariensis
Lineage: Eukaryota; Metazoa; Arthropoda; Arachnida; Araneae; Nephilidae
Source: the annotation of a GenBank genome assembly